RNA transcript from Rosa rugosa (rugosa rose), 1548 nucleotides. It is a transcript of the gene named glutamine--fructose-6-phosphate aminotransferase [isomerizing] 1-like, with no coding region annotated. NCBI's taxonomy places the organism in Eukaryota, Viridiplantae, Streptophyta, Magnoliopsida, Rosales, Rosaceae. The record is from RefSeq and is a predicted model, not a curated record. The transcript has 7 exons.
AACCCAAUCUUCACAAAACAAACGCCAAACCCUGACAUUAUCAGCCAUCCCUUCCUCUCUCAUCUCUCUCCCCUUUCUUCUCUUAAUCCUUGUUCAAACUUCAAACUAAUCCAAUCAUCCAGUUAUCUGGGCGAAUACCUCUCUCUCAUCUCUCUCAAACUGAAUUGGGGUUUCUUUCAGAUCUGAGGUGAAUCGACAAGAAAAUCUGAUUUGGCUCCAAACUAAUUUGGGUUUCUCAUCUUACCUACUUGGAUUCCGCCGAAGUGGACAUAGCCUUGCAGCGAUGGUCAUACAAGGUAACCCUUUAUUCUGCGUUAUUUAGUUCCUCGAUUUCUAGAGUUUCUCUAGUUUUCCAAGGACGCUCUGGUUUACAGUGAAAAGAAACGGCAAUUCUAAAGCAGAGCGGUGGCGGCGGCGGAAGGAAGAGGAAGGAUGUGAGCUCCGAGGACGAGUCUUCUAAGAUGGUUUCUUCUAAGAUGGCUUCAAUCUUUUUACUGGUCCGUGAAUUUCAGGCCUUAAAGGGCACUCUAGUUCGGCAUGGAUUUACCUUUCAAUCUGAAACAGACACAGAAGUUAUUCCAAAGCUUGCCAAAUAUGUCUUUGAUAAAGCUAAAGAAGGAGAAGGUGACCAGACUAUCACAUUUAGUCAAGUAGUGCAUGAGGUUAUGAGGCAUCUUGAAGGAGCCUAUGCGCUGAUUUUUAAAAGCCGGCAUUAUCCAAAUGAGUUGAUUGCUUGUAAACGUGGCAGUCCGUUGCUCCUUGGUGUGAAAGAACUUAAUGAAAAUGCUAGCAAUAGUUCUGCAUUUCAUGAUGAUAAUUUCCUUUCAAAAAGUGGACAUCCUAAAGAACUCUUCUUGUCCAGUGAUGCAAAUGCCGUAGUUGAACACACCAAAAAGGUUUUGGUGAUUGAGGAUGGUGAAUUGGUUCAUCUUAAGGAAGCAGAAUUCAUAAGACAUAUCGACUCAAAGCUGGCUUUUGGGAAUCGAUUAAAUCUGGUUUUCAGUCAGCAUGUCUUUGCACGAUACAACAUUUUGCUUUAUUUGCACUCAUUUAACCUCAGGAGAGAAGGAUUGGAGGGUGAUGAGCUAAGAAGGAAUUCUGAUGUCAUGGAGAUCCUAAAGAAGACAAGUUUCCAAAGGUUAUUGGCUCUAGCGCGUUGAAAAACCCAGAAACAACCCUGGAGCAUGAGUAAGAGUCUUGCUGAUCAACUAUUGAUUAAAGACUGAUUACAACUUAAGCAUAUGUAAAAAAAUGCAUGAUCAGUUGAAGCUCUCAAAACCACUCUGGAAGGCUCCCUCCUAAUACCAGAGACGAACGAUGCAAGGACAAGGUUGCACCUAUAUAUGUAAUGGUACCCAUGAUCACAGGAAUAUAGCAUUUCCGGCGUAUAAAGCUUUUGAGGCUGUCGCGGUUGCUUUACAUAAUGGUUAUUUUUCCAUUUCCUGCCCGUUGAUAACAUCCUUGUGUAUUUCGAUCAAUUAUCGUCUUACAAUGUAAAUAUGACAUUUGAAUUUGAUAUGAGGGUAAUAUGAAUAUGAGUAUAUGACA